This is a non-coding RNA of Misgurnus anguillicaudatus (oriental weatherfish), 1444 nucleotides long. The record is from RefSeq and is a predicted model, not a curated record. NCBI's taxonomy places the organism in Eukaryota, Metazoa, Chordata, Actinopteri, Cypriniformes, Cobitidae.
GGGUCAAAGACGAGACGUCACCAUUUUGGUGUCCGCAUCAAAUAUAAUUUACAAAAGUGAUUUUACAUACAAAAAACACCUAUAAAAUGAAAGUAAAAUGUCUACUUUUAUGUUUCAAAUAACUUUUGUGAAAAUACAAUGACCAAAUAUGAGUUUAAUAAUGAUCCAAAGUGUAAAAUCGUCAUUCAGCGUAAUGGUCCGGACUAUGAUUUUACUAAUAGAUUUUUAAAUAAACGUAUAAAAUACCAUGUUAAAAAAAUAUUUUCUUCCCUGGCAUGUUCACAUAAGUGUUGGCUGUUUUAUAUUAAUAGGACUAUGUGUUAUUUUUUUCGUUAAAUAUUGAAACAACUAGGGGACUUUUGUCCCGAAUAUGCAGUUUGUCAGAGGUCAUUCAGUGUAACGGGAUAAGGAAACCAUUUUGAAAUUAAAUAAACAAACAAUAGUCAUCAAGCAGUCUGUGACAUCAUCAAAAGGCCCCCUGAAGACCAUGUGGUGAUUCAGCAAGAUGCCCACAAACAAAGAGAAAGUUUCUAGGCACUGGCAGAAAGUUAAUGCAGACCCAGUAGCUAGGGCAAUGCAUUUAGCAAGGACACGAGAAAGCAACCAGAGAAGAAAGCAAGCUGCCUUGGCUGCAAAUCCUGAUCACCUGUCAAUCAGGAAUUUAUCAGAUGCUGCAGCUGAGAAGAGGCGAAAGCAAUGGCGGGAAAAUCAAAGAAAACACAGGGCAGAAGCUAAAUGUAUAAGGGCAGUUCUGGAUCUUAUUAUACAGUAUUACCACCUGUUCAGUUCAUUUUUACGAAUAUGAUAUGCAUUAUGGAAUAAAAAUGAUUAUUAAUUUCAGCAUCUACUUCUGUGAUUUGUUAAGGAAUAAAAUGAUACAGAAUAAUAUUCAAAACAUUGCAAUAAUGGAAACAAUGACACUAUUUUUGUCAAAAAUGUCAUUCAGUGUAACAAACCAUGGUCAUUCGGUGUAACAGAUAUAUUUAUGUAGAAAUGAAACAAUAUACUUAUUCUGAGCUGUACUUAUUAAAAUAUGUAUAAUAAUGUGUGAUCCUUCAAAAAUUUUAUUUGAUUUGAAUUGAUUUUCACUUCCUUACAAAAACUUCUUGCUGACAAAUGGGUAAAACCUAAUGGUUUAAAGGAUAUUGGCGAAGUAAAAUGCUUUAAAAUGACAAAUAGUUAGUAUUUGGUGUCUGCACUGUGAUCUAUAAAUAGAGUCUUGUAAUGUGUCAUCAAAUAAUAGUUUUUCUAAAAAUGUCUGAUAAUAUUUUUUUGCAUAAUAAUAUUGUUACACUGAAUGACAUUUUAGUUGGUGUCUUCUGUACAAUUCCAGUAAAAAUGUAUGGUAGUAAUUAUUUUUUUGCUCAGAAAAACAUAUAGUUAAACAGGACAUAUUCUAAUGUAUGUGAAAAAGACUAAAUUUAAAGCUCUUUUACACUUUUAU